RNAcentral lists this transfer RNA (69 nucleotides) under Rattus norvegicus (Norway rat). It matches the Rfam family "tRNA". From Rfam's summary of the family: Transfer RNA (tRNA) molecules are approximately 80 nucleotides in length. The record is from Rfam by way of RNAcentral. Lineage: Eukaryota; Metazoa; Chordata; Mammalia; Rodentia; Muridae.
GGGGAUUUAGCUCAGUGGUAGAGCGCUUGCCUAGCAAGUGGAAGGCCCUGGGUUCGGUCCCCAGCUCCU